Molecule: non-coding RNA, 132 nt
Organism: Triticum aestivum (bread wheat)
Lineage: Eukaryota; Viridiplantae; Streptophyta; Magnoliopsida; Poales; Poaceae
Source: Rfam
AUAUUACUCCCGUCCCAAAAUUUUUGUCUUAAAUUUGUUUAGAUACGGUUGUAUCUAACACUAAAACGUGACUAGAUACAUCCAUAUAUAGACAAAUCUAAGACAGUAAUUUUGGAACAGAGGGAGUGGUUG